Molecule: ribosomal RNA, 253 nt
Filed under: uncultured bacterium
Lineage: Bacteria
Description: partial 16S ribosomal RNA
Rfam family: Bacterial small subunit ribosomal RNA
Source: RNAcentral
UACGGAGGGAGCUAGCGUUGUUCGGAAUUACUGGGCGUAAAGCGCGCGUAGGCGGCUUUGUAAGUUAGAGGUGAAAGCCCGGGGCUCAACCUGGGAACUGCAUUUGAAACUGGCGGGCUUGAGUAUGGCAGAGGGGGGUGGAAUUCCGCGUGUAGCAGUGAAAUGCGUAGAGAUGCGGAGGAACACCGAUGGCGAAGGCAGCCCCCUGGGCCAAUACUAACGCUCAGGCACGAAAGCGUGGGGAGCAAACAGG